UACGUAGGUGGCAAGCGUUGUCCGGAAUUAUUGGGCGUAAAGCGCGCGCAGGCGGUCUCUUAAGUCUGAUGUGAAAUCCCGUGGCUUAACCACGGGCGGUCAUUGGAAACUGGGGGACUUGAGUGCAGAAGAGAAGAGCGGAAUUCCACGUGUAGCGGUGAAAUGCGUAGAUAUCGUUUGGAACGCCGAUGGUGAAAACAGGUCGCUGGGGUUGUGCUGACGCUGAGACACGAAAGCCAGGGGAGCGAACGGG
This 253-nucleotide ribosomal RNA is filed under the name uncultured bacterium. Its description in RNAcentral is "partial 16S ribosomal RNA". It matches the Rfam family "Bacterial small subunit ribosomal RNA", at positions 524 to 776 of the family's 1533-position model. The record is from RNAcentral.